This 253-nucleotide ribosomal RNA is filed under the name uncultured bacterium. Its description in RNAcentral is "partial 16S ribosomal RNA". It matches the Rfam family "Bacterial small subunit ribosomal RNA", at positions 524 to 776 of the family's 1533-position model. The record is from RNAcentral.
UACGUAGGGUGCAAGCGUUGUCCGGAAUUAUUGGGCGUAAAGAGCUCGUAGGCGGUUCGUCGCGUCGAAUGUGAAAACCCGGGGCUCAACCCCGGGCCUGCAUUCGAUACGGGCAGACUAGAGUUCGGUAGGGGAGUCUGGAAUUCCUGGUGUAGCGGUGAAAUGCGCAGAUAUCAGGAGGAACACCGGUGGCGAAGGCGGUUCUCUGGGCAUGUCCUGACGCUGAGGAGCGAAAGUGUGGGGAGCGAACAGG